This 200-nucleotide long non-coding RNA is filed under the name Lathyrus oleraceus (garden pea). RNAcentral describes it as "Pisum sativum (pea) long non-coding RNA (PSAT_LNC013569)". Lineage: Eukaryota; Viridiplantae; Streptophyta; Magnoliopsida; Fabales; Fabaceae. The record is from RNAcentral.
AAUUUUAUCAGAUUCAUACUUUUCUAUAAAAAAAGAACCUCUAAAUGAUGUAUCUACCUUUGAUACAAUAAGAAUCAUACUUUUCUAUAAAAACAAUUCUCAUAAAACUAAAUGUGCUAAUAAGUUAUUGAUGUAGCUUUGAUGCACCAAUGACAAUAAACUAAUUCUCAUAACAGUAACAUAAUGAAACAUAAAUCCAC